GCGGGUGUGGCGGAACCGGAAGACGCAGCGGGCUCAGGACCCGCCGGGGUAACACCCCAUGAGGGUUCAAAUCCCUCCACCCGCACCA
Molecule: transfer RNA, 88 nt
Filed under: Thermodesulfobacteriota bacterium
Lineage: Bacteria; Pseudomonadati; Thermodesulfobacteriota
Description: Thermodesulfobacteria bacterium tRNA-Leu
Rfam family: tRNA
About the family: Transfer RNA (tRNA) molecules are approximately 80 nucleotides in length.
Source: RNAcentral